This 199-nucleotide long non-coding RNA is filed under the name Elaeis guineensis (African oil palm). Its description in RNAcentral is "long non-coding RNA (EGUI_LNC059532)". Lineage: Eukaryota; Viridiplantae; Streptophyta; Magnoliopsida; Arecales; Arecaceae. The record is from RNAcentral.
GCAGCAGUCUGUUAGGGUUUCCACCAGAUGCCCACGUGUUCAUCCUCCAACGUUGAUCCACACGAGGACUCGAUCAACCCACUAGCACCUAUUUGAAAAUUCUCUAUAAUUAAAUUCUAAUUUAUCAGAAUUUAAAUGCUAUUUGGGCAGAACCUCCUUUCUUGGCUUUGCUGUCACCCUGUUGGACCUUUUCUUGCCU